This 78-nucleotide transfer RNA is filed under the name Caldisphaera lagunensis DSM 15908. RNAcentral's name for it is "tRNA-Gln". It matches the Rfam family "tRNA". Rfam says of the family: Transfer RNA (tRNA) molecules are approximately 80 nucleotides in length. Their secondary structure includes four short double-helical elements and three loops (D, anti-codon, and T loops). The record is from RNAcentral. Lineage: Archaea; Thermoproteati; Thermoproteota; Thermoprotei; Acidilobales; Acidilobaceae.
AGCCGGGUCGUCUAGCGGCCAAGGAUUCGGGGCUCUGGAACCCCCGAGACCGGGGUUCGAAUCCCCGCCCGGCUACCA